UAGGGAAUCUUCGGCAAUGGGGGCAACCCUGACCGAGCAACGCCGCGUGAGUGAAGAAGGUUUUCGGAUCGUAAAGCUCUGUUGUAAGAGAAGAACGCGUGUGAGAGUGGAAAGUUCACACAGUGACGGUAACUUACCAGAAAGGGACGGCUAACUACGUGUCAG
RNAcentral lists this ribosomal RNA (165 nucleotides) under uncultured bacterium. RNAcentral describes it as "partial 16S rRNA". It matches the Rfam family "Bacterial small subunit ribosomal RNA", at positions 355 to 511 of the family's 1533-position model. The record is from RNAcentral.